GACGAACGCUGGCGGCGUGCUUAACACAUGCAAGUCGAACGGUAAGGCUCCAGCUUGCUGGGGUACACGAGUGGCGAACGGGUGAGUAACACGUGGGUGACCUGCCCUGCACUUCGGGAUAAGCCUGGGAAACUGGGUCUAAUACCGGAUAGGACCAUGGUGUGGAUACUGUGGUGGAAAGUUUUUUCGGUGUGGGAUGGGCCCGCGGCCUAUCAGCUUGUUGGUGGGGUAAUGGCCUACCAAGGCGGCGACGGGUAGCCGGCCUGAGAGGGUGGACGGCCACAUUGGGACUGAGACACGGCCCAGACUCCUACGGGAGGCAGCAGUGGGGAAUAUUGCACAAUGGGCGGAAGCCUGAUGCAGCGACGCCGCGUGGGGGAUGACGGCCUUCGGGUUGUAAACUGCUUUCGCCAGCGACGAAGGGUUUCUGACGGUAGAUGGAGAAGAAGCACCGGCUAACUACGUG
RNAcentral lists this ribosomal RNA (466 nucleotides) under uncultured bacterium. RNAcentral's name for it is "partial 16S ribosomal RNA". It matches the Rfam family "Bacterial small subunit ribosomal RNA", at positions 28 to 507 of the family's 1533-position model. The record is from RNAcentral.